UACGUAGGGUGCGAGCGUUAAUCGGAAUUACUGGGCGUAAAGCGUGCGCAGGCGGUUUUGUAAGCCAGAUGUGAAAGCCCCGGGCUUAACUUGGGAAUGGCAUUUGGGACUGCAAGGCUUGAGUGCGGCAGAGGAGACUGGAAUUCCUGGUGUAGCAGUGAAAUGCGUAGAUAUCAGGAGGAAUACCGAUGGCGAAGGCAGGUCUCUGGGCAUGAUCUGACGCUGAGGAGCGAAAGUGUGGGGAGCGAACAGG
This 253-nucleotide ribosomal RNA is filed under the name uncultured bacterium. Its description in RNAcentral is "partial 16S ribosomal RNA". It matches the Rfam family "Bacterial small subunit ribosomal RNA", at positions 524 to 776 of the family's 1533-position model. The record is from RNAcentral.